AACGGAGGGGGCUAGCGUUGUUCGGAAUUACUGGGCGUAAAGCGCACGUAGGCGGCUUUGUAAGUUAGAGGUGAAAGCCCGGGGCUCAACUCCGGAAUUGCCUUUAAGACUGCAUCGCUCGAAUCAUGGAGAGGUGAGUGGAAUUCCGAGUGUAGAGGUGAAAUUCAUAGAUAUUCGGAAGAACACCAGUGGCGAAGGCGACUCACUGGACAUGUAUUGACGCUGAGAAUCGAAAGCGUGGGGAGCAAACAGG
RNAcentral lists this ribosomal RNA (253 nucleotides) under uncultured bacterium. Its description in RNAcentral is "partial 16S ribosomal RNA". It matches the Rfam family "Bacterial small subunit ribosomal RNA", at positions 524 to 776 of the family's 1533-position model. The record is from RNAcentral.